Molecule: ribosomal RNA, 445 nt
Filed under: uncultured bacterium
Lineage: Bacteria
Description: partial 16S ribosomal RNA
Rfam family: Bacterial small subunit ribosomal RNA
Source: RNAcentral
GUGAGGAAUAUUGCGCAAUGGAGGCAACUCUGACGCAGCCAUGCCGCGUGCAGGAAGAAGGCGCUACGCGUUGUAAACUGCUUUUAACCGGGAAGAAACCCCAGGACGUGUCCUGGGUUGACGGUACCGGAGGAAUAAGCACCGGCUAACUUCGUGCCAGCAGCCGCGGUAAUACGAAGGGUGCAAGCGUUAUCCGGAUUCAUUGGGUGUAAAGGGUGCGUAGGCGGAGCGUUAAGUCAGUGGUGAAAUCCUGCAGCUUAACUGUAGACUUGCCAUUGAUACUGGCGAUCUUGAGUGCGCUUGAAGUGGGCGGAAUGUGCCGUGUAGCGGUGAAAUGCUUAGAUAUGGCACAGAACACCAAUUGCGAAGGCAGCUCACUAAGGCGAUACUGACGCUGAGGCACGAAAGCGUGGGGAUCGAACAGGAUUAGAUACCCCGGUAGUCC